This 484-nucleotide ribosomal RNA is filed under the name uncultured bacterium. RNAcentral's name for it is "partial 16S ribosomal RNA". It matches the Rfam family "Bacterial small subunit ribosomal RNA", at positions 30 to 507 of the family's 1533-position model. The record is from RNAcentral.
AUUGAACGCUGGCGGCAGGCCUAACACAUGCAAGUCGAGCGGAUGAAGGGAGCUUGCUCCUGGAUUCAGCGGCGGACGGGUGAGUAAUGCCUAGGAAUCUGCCUGGUAGCGGGGGAUAACGUCCGGAAACGGGCGCUAAUACCGCAUACGUCCUGAGGGAGAAAGUGGGGGAUCUUCGGACCUCACGCUAUCAGAUGAGCCUAGGUCGGAUUAGCUAGUUGGUGGGGUAAAGGCCUACCAAGGCGACGAUCCGUAACUGGUCUGAGAGGAUGAUCAGUCACACUGGAACUGAGACACGGUCCAGACUCCUACGGGAGGCAGCAGUGGGGAAUAUUGGACAAUGGGCGAAAGCCUGAUCCAGCCAUGCCGCGUGUGUGAAGAAGGUCUUCGGAUUGUAAGGCACUUUAAGUUGGGAGGAAGGGCAGUAAGUUAAUACCUUGCUGUUUUGACGUUACCAACAGAAUAAGCACCGGCUAACUUCGUG